Molecule: long non-coding RNA, 5852 nt
Filed under: Equus caballus (horse)
Lineage: Eukaryota; Metazoa; Chordata; Mammalia; Perissodactyla; Equidae
Description: lncRNA (ENSECAG00000054245.1)
Source: RNAcentral
GAAAUACAGGAGAAAUCGAUUUUGAGGUGGAAAUAAUGAGCCCAAUUUUGGAUUUAUCGAAUUUUAAAUGCAGUACCCACACAUCUUCUCUUUUUUCAAAAAAGGUCAGUGCUGUGGAUAUUUGCUGCCUUAGUCAUUUUACCAUAGUUUAAUUCUGUGCCUUCAAUGGGCACUUCUAAGCUGUGAAAAAAUCUACGUGAGAUGUUAGCUGGCCCCAGGUGGGCCCUUCUGAACUCUGUAUUUGCUUCCUAUCAAACACUCGGAGUUGGGACGGCGCGCAUAUGUCUGAGGCAAAUGUCAAGUCAAUGGGGAUCAGACAUCUAAGAAACAAGUCAUCCUUAUGUCAUUUACGGCAAGGAGUUGGAAAAUGGAAGGCGCUUAAGCUGUUUUUCCCUAAAGGAAGAGGGCUGUAAUAAUUAAGAGGUUUGAAAUAUCUCUAUCGCAAAACGCUCACAGUUCAAAAACAAUGAGUCGCCGAGGAUUUCCCCGAGGAACGGUUUCUGCUCUCCACGAACACUGGGAAUUUGUUCCCGCCUUCCUGGUCGCUGCCCGGACCGAGGCAGCUGGCCGCCCGGUCUCAGUCCCGAGCGUUGGGCGUGCUCGGCAGUCCCUUCAUUUCCCGUUACUUAGCAACGUCAGCGUUAACCUCCGCCGGGUAAGCGGAGACAAUGCCCCGGGAAUUUUCACAGGUAUUAAGCAUUUCGCCCCUCACGGCCCUCCUUGGGGGGAAUCCUUUUAUUCUUGGAGAUGGAAGGGAACCGGCCGCGCCCAGCCUGGCUUGUCCCUGGAGCCAACCCCCAGGCAAGGAGGAGGACUCCGGAGGCUCCUGCUCCUGACUCCAGAGGGGACCGCGGUCCGGGACCCCCUCCACUCCCCGACCUCCCCUCCCCCAGCCCCCGGGCGACGCGCGCUUCUGGAGGGGCGCUGGGCUGGGCGGGGACGCGUCACCGGGCGGGGUCGCGGGGCCGAGCGGGGAGCGCGCGGAGCUGGGCGCGGGGGCGGGGGCAGGGGGCGCAGGGCGGGCGCGGAGCUCUGGCGCGGGAGCCCCGGUGACGCACCAGUGACGUCGGCGGCGGCGGGCGGGAUUUCCCGGCCCCUCCCGGGCGCCAGACUAGACCCUGGUGCGGAGUGGGCGCGACCAACGUGGGCGGGAGGAAGCGGGGCCGGGGGGCGCGCGCUCGGCGCCCUCAGGGCAUGGACGUCCUCCUGCAGCCCGGCACGGGGGGCUGAGCGGGCAGAGUACUUGGCGUCCGCUGACUCCGCUCUCAAACUGGGCACCGGCUCGGCCACCUGCGCCCCCUCGGCCUCGCGUCGUCUGUCCUCUGCCCGGGCGGGGAGGCGCGGGGCGGGGCGGGGCUGGUGACGCGGCCCGGAGACCCCGGGGCGGCGCGGGGCGCGAGGCGCGCGUUUGCACCGCGAACCCAUCAGCGGCGAGGCGCGCGGGAGCUGGGGCGCUGAGCCGGAGCCCCCCCGCCCGCCAGCCCCGCGCCCGGAUGAGGAGCGAUGCCGCUCGGUCUGGCCGCCCCCCGCGUGCGCCGCGCCGGAGACAAAGCCCGCGCCUGAGCGGCUCCCUCGGCCCGCGUCCCCGCGCCGAGUUCUGCCGAUCCUCACCGUGACCAGUCUUCCUGGGGUGUCAGCCUUUCUCCAGUUUUCCCAUGCAUUACUGCUGCCAACCAAGUUCAUCGUCAGCGCUGGAUGCCGUGGAAGGACUGUUUCAAUGAUGUAUUUUGCCGAAAGCAUUGAUGCGUUCCUAAGAGACUGUGACCCUCGAGGCAGGAGCCCUGCAUCGGCCUCUCCUCUGAAGACUGUCGACUGCUGCUGCCGCCAGCCUGUCCCCUGCCCAGGCCUGUCCCUGUGCUGCCUCUUAGCAGCUCGUGGAGAUGUCACGUUAGGGAGGAUGGCAGAAAACGCACGAUGAUAUCCACUCGUCCAGAAAUUCUAACCUCUGUCUGCUGAGUCAAAUCAGAUCAGCAACCCUGGGGAUUGAACCACCUGGCGCUGCCCCACCCCCAGCUCUGAGCUGAGUUACGCACCACAAGAUGCAGCCCAUCAGAACCUCCCUCUGAAGCCUGUCUGUGUGUGAGUGCAUUCCUGUAUGCUCGAGGAGAAAGCUGUCUGACCAUGGCGGUGACAGAGCCCGUCCCCUGAGCAGUGGGGCAGCAGAAUGAAAGAGGGCAUGUCCAACAACAGCACCACUAGCAUCUCCCAAGCCAGGAAGGCUGUGGAGCAGCUGAAGAUGGAAGCCUGUAUGGACAGAGUGAAGGUCUCCCAGGCCGCUGCCGACCUCCUGGCGUACUGUGAAGCCCACGUGCGGGAAGACCCCCUCGUCACCCCAGUGCCUGCGUCAGAAAACCCCUUCCGAGAGAAGAAGUUCUUCUGCACCAUUCUCUGACUGUCGGUUAUGAAAAUAUCUCCUUCUCUGUCAGUAAAACCCCUGGUGGAGACCGUGCAUGCUCUUAGCUUUAGGGAGCUCCACCCACACCCAUCCCUGCCCAACCAGGAUCGCUGGGGCCUGUCUCGUCUUCUCAUUGGUUUUCUUCAUUGCAUUCAAUUUCACUUUUCUUUUUGUUUUCAUAGUAUUUUCUUUAUUGGCAAAGCAAAUAGACAUUUUUGUAGCCAAAUAACAAAUGUGCCAAGGAAAGAUAAAUAUGGAUUUAAGCGUUUAAAUUUUUUAAACAUCAAUUCCCAAGUUUAAAUAUAUCAACUUAAUAUAUGUCAGUGGAUAUUUGUUGAAAAGAAAAACUGUACUCAACAACCCCCAUUCACAGUAAUUCAGUACCAAAUUAGAGCAUUUUGACCAACUGAAAUAUAUGGGUAAAUUUCCACCUCCAUGCCUAGAUAAGCAGUUCUGAAAGUUCAUAUUUCCUGCUUUUCCAUCUUCCUACUAGAAAGAAAAGAAACCACAGCAUUGAUGGUUUUCUUAGUGUGUAUCUUCCUGCGGCCAUGUGGCCCAGACCCCACCAAGGGCCCCGGCCUCUGUUUCCCACUGAUUGUCGCUGACCACCUUGGAGGUGGUCCUCCUACAAGUGUAGAUGCUGGGCGGAUACUGAAGCAGGCUUAACUGUAAAUGUACACCGUGACAGCCAUCUGUUUACGUGCUCCAGCUGGCCCGGCCAAGGGUGCCAUCGUCCCUCUCCAUACGCCACCUCUUCCUGCUCCCUCCUAUUCUGGCUCCUCCUCAGUAGUUCUAACAUGGGUUGUGUCAAUAAGGACCCAUUCUGGGCAAAGCACUAGGCCCCGUGGGCUUUCACAGGGUGGCCCCUGUCCCAGAGGAGUGAGGCAUUGGGGCAGCAGCCCACUAGGUGCCAUCUACUGAUCUGAGCAUUGCCACGUAUUCACUUAUUUAAUCCUCCAACAAUAAAUAAAUGCCACGAGAGUACAUCUGUUUUAAAGAGAGGGAAACUGAGGCACAGAAAGGUCCUGUCGUUUCCCCAAAGUUAUAGAUGGUAAGCGGGAAAACGGGGGCUCAGUAGAGGUGGUCUGGCCCAGAGCCCUCCCUGAACCUGUGAGCUACGCUGCCUUCCAGGUCUCCCUGGGUGCAGGUGGGUAGACCCCCAAACGACCUGAACCUCCUGCUGCAAAGCACUGGCCCUGUGGUCCACUGGGCAGCUCGUGUCCCAUCUUCUCCGGGAGGAGGCCUGUUGGUCCGUAUUCUGGCAGCUUAUGGAAGAUGAUCCGUGGAUGCCCCAGUGGAAGGUUAGACAGCUCUUGGUUUUUCUGAGAGAAACUCGCAGGCGCCACCUUAAACAAACUCAGACCACCCCCGAUGAAAGAACAGAAUAAACCAUGGGGGCAGAGAGCUCUUUGUCUAAGUUUGUUCUGCUCCGUUUGUUUGGAAACCCUGUCUCUGGCUCUGACAGCGGCUUGCUGUGUGAUAGAGGGCAAGCCAUUGUGAGCCUGAGAUGCUCUAACCUGCACAUCGGGGAUAAUGGUAAUUCCUCCUCCCGCCUUUCUGUCUAGAGGAUAUCGAGAGGUGCUGCACAGAUGAAAGCUCUGAUUAUCAUUUAAAACAAAUAAAAUGUACUAAAUGCCAAGAUAUAACAUAGGGAAGAAGGCAUGACUUCAAAGUUACCACUGUUCAGUUGGAGGAAUAAUCUGCAAAGAGCCAAAUAUAAUUUCAGAUCAGUUAAUGACUUGCUACCCUUGUAAAUGGUUUUAGUACAUUCUUAUUCUUUGUUUCUUUUGUUGAAACCCAUUUUUAGUUGCAUUAAAGCUCACUGAUAAUAUCAGUGUUGUUAGGAAGCUGUGUGCUCAAACUAUAGGAGAACUGUAUGCUGUACGUGAUAAUACGAUUUCAAAUCCUUCUCUAUUUUGGUUUAUGACCAGCGUCUCUUUAUUCUGUGGUCCAUGUCAACAUCAUUAACCUGAUAAAGCAAAGCACAAUUCAUAAAAGCACAUCAGAGACGCGGAGAAAGUGGGACAGCAUGGAAACGGGCUAUAAAUCAGGUCAAGAAAAAAAUGUUCUUCUAGUCUUCCGCCAGACUUUCUCCCCUGUGUUUUUACUUCUACUGUCCCUCCAUAUUCUGCCUCCCCUUUUUUUCCUCUUUUUCUUUUUCUUCCUCUCUUCCUUACUUUGCUCUGUGAGAUGCUUGUCUUUUACUGUACCUUUUCCUUCCAAACCUAUGGCAUUUCUUAUGGCUUGCCUCUUCUGAAGUGUCCCUGAGCUCAGAGCAGUCUUCUUAAAGACCAGUUUGAGUACAUGGGCUAUGAGAUGCGCCAACGUGUGAAUGAGCCCCGUCCCCCUUCUAGCAAUCAUUGGGAGGUGAAUGAAAUGGAGUGAUCUUGUAGUGGACACUUGUCAUUUUGUGUCUCCAGUUUGGCUAUCCAGCAUCUGACCCCUCUUCCUCUAGGGGGAAAUCACCCCUUACAUAUAAAUUCAGUGGGAUGCAGUAACCCCUUCCACUGUGGAUGCUGAAGUGGGGAGGUCUUCCCUGUCUCUCAGGUGCACCCCCCCUUUCCAGCACCAACCAGCCAGGGAGUGGCCAGUGACCCUGGGUGAACUACUUGGACUCCCCUGCUUGGGAGUGUGAGCUUGGAGCAAGUGACGCAGAAAUGAAGGGAUGCUGAGGUUCAUUUCAUGGGAGCUGCAGUGGUCCAGGGAUGGCAGCGGCCCAGCGGGGGGGGGGGGGGGGGGGUGGGGGUGUCUAGGACUGGUAGGCUGCAGGGAUGGCAUGUCCACUGGUAACAAUGUCCAGGGAUGGCAGUGUCCUGAGAAGACCAUUCCUUGGCCCUACUGAGCUGUCUCAUCCCCGCCCAUCUUUUUAGGUCUUCUUUCUAGCUUUUUCUCAACUCUUUGAGCCUCCAAGCUCCAUCCAAUGAACUCCUUAUUCUUCAAUGAAAUAGCCUGGGUUGAAUGUACUCCAUUCCUAGAUGUAUACCCAACAGAAAUGUGUACAUAUAUUCACCAAAAGAAAUGUGCUAGAAUGUUCAUAGAAGCAUUAAUCAUAAUAACCCAAAACUGGAAACCACCCAAAUGCCCAAAAUGAAUGGAUAAUCAAAUUGUGGUAUAGUCACACUGUGAAAUCCUAUACAGCAAUGAGCACGAAUGAUCCACAGCAUGGGGUGAGACCCGCGAGAUGGGCAAGUACAUACUAUAUGAUUCUGUUUCUAUCAAGUUCGAAACCUGGCUAAGCUAACCUCUGCUGUUGCAAGUAAGAUAUCAGUUACUCUUGAGGGGAUGGUAAGCAGAAGGGGCACAAAGGGAGUUUCUAGGAUGUUCUGUUUCUUGACCUGGUUGCUGGUUAUCUGCGUGUAUUCAGUUUGUGAAAAUUCUUCGAGCUGUUAACUUUCGAUUUGUGCACUUUUCUGUAUGUACGUUGUACUUCAAUAAAGUUGGGUUUUGUGGCUAGCAA